GUAGGUAUAGUUUAAUAAAAAUGCUAGAUUGUGAUUCUAAAGACAGGGGUUAAAACCCCCUUACCCACC
RNAcentral lists this transfer RNA (69 nucleotides) under Malthopsis jordani. RNAcentral describes it as "tRNA-His". It matches the Rfam family "tRNA". From Rfam's summary of the family: Transfer RNA (tRNA) molecules are approximately 80 nucleotides in length. Their secondary structure includes four short double-helical elements and three loops (D, anti-codon, and T loops). Further hydrogen bonds mediate the characteristic L-shaped molecular structure. tRNAs have two regions of fundamental functional importance: the anti-codon, which is responsible for specific mRNA codon recognition, and the 3' end, to which the tRNAs corresponding amino acid is attached (by aminoacyl-tRNA synthetases). tRNAs cope with the degeneracy of the genetic code in two manners: having more than one tRNA (with a specific anti-codon) for a particular amino acid; and 'wobble' base-pairing, i.e. permitting non-standard base-pairing at the 3rd anti-codon position. The record is from RNAcentral. Lineage: Eukaryota; Metazoa; Chordata; Actinopteri; Lophiiformes; Ogcocephalidae.